CAAAAUUCUCAAGCAGUUGCAAUGCAAUUACGAUCAUCCUCAGCCUCAGGUAAUUUCUUCUCCUGCUUUGUUUUUAUUUGUUACCUAAUUAAGAAGCAUUAUUUGUUUUUAUUUGUUACCUAAUUGAAGGACAAGUGCUGAAGAGUGGGAAUGGUGCUAUAUUGGGGAAUAAUGCAGGAGGAGGUAAAUUAUUGGGAGUUUCUUCAACCUUGUUUUCUUUGAACCAGCGCCUGAUCCACAAGACUCCGUUAAUUUGGCUUUUGAUCGGCUGAUUGAUAAAUUUUCAAUUUCUUUUGUGAUAAAUGUAUAUGUGAAGCAGGCAGCAGGACAUGACUGUGGAAAAGAGAAGAUCUUAGUGAAAGCUGAGACUCAGAUAUUUCUACAAAGUAUGUGUUUUGGCUGAUUUAUCUAAUUCAUGAAAUUUUAUUUCCAUCUGUUACAAGAUCAAACUGAAGCAGAACUCAAAGAAAAGUAUUCUACUUCUUACGGCAAUCUUGCCUUCGUUCAGAUUAUGGAACCAUUUCCAUGCAGCAAAUUCAUCCAAAAGUUUGAAUAAGUUUCAUGGUUGGACACUGUUGGCUUCUUUUUCUUUUGGGGUGCAUUUAGGUGCUAUCAAGUGACAGCCGUAAGUAUGAUUGCACUAAGCUGCUGCUGGGAAAUUCGAGGUUUUGAUGGCUGCCCACGUUAUUGUCAAGAAACUCCUCAUGUAAGAAGUUGUAGUUCUUUUCAUCAGCUUGAACCUAAAACUGUCGCUAUUGAUAACUCAGGUUUUUGUUAUCAACUAUAUCAUCUUUUUCACUGUUUUGAAACUCUUUAAGAUUAAACUUCAGUAAAGUUCUUUCAGUUAUCCACAUAAUCAGGCUGAGGAUACUUUAGUAAAGUUGCUUCAGCUAUUCAAAUGAAAAAUCUCAUUGAUUUGAGACUUCCUUCAUUAUUGUUUUUGAUUAAAAUGCUAAGGGUCCAGAUAAAAUAAUAUUUAAUUGGUGGAAGGUGUCCCUUGGAAGUACAUCAUGAUUAGCUGUUGUGCUAAUCAUGCCAAUGCAUAAUUCGGCCCCUAAUGUGGGUACUCUGUUACAUUGUUCUGCAAAUUCUCCAAAAAAGUUAAAUCAAUAAAUUUUGUAUUAGCUAGAUUAGCUCUAGGUUGUGAGGAGUCUGUCAUAUGGGAGAACCCAUUUCCAGAAAAUAUCUGGUAUUUGUUCCAGUCUUCUAAUGAAUGAAAGUUAUGAUUCCUUUUCAAAAAAAAAAAAGAAUUUUGUAUUAGUUCUAGUGCGUUGACCUAAAUGCUAUUCUAUAUUUUAGUGCCUUAAUUCUAGAACCUUGGCUCCUGCCAGAGCAUGCGGAGAUAAUGGUAGGGAGAGUGUUUGUGUAUUUUAACCAUGAUAAAGCUAAUGUUCCCAAUGAUUUCUGCUGGUGAGACUUGUGAAGAGGGUGAAUGAGGCAACUGCUAAUAUUCCUGGGUGGGAUACAGUAACUAGAGGCUGAGAUCAGGUGGUGGAAUUUUUUGUUUGAUCGAUGAUACCAGAAUUGUCCACAAAAAGUUUGUUGAUACAAAUUACAGGUGAUAGAAAGAGGUAUAGGUGGAGAAGAGAAAUCUGCGAGUCAAAUUAGGGAUAAUUGAUUUGCUGAUGCAAGUUACAUUGAAUAAUAAUAAUAACAAUUGCAUGAAGAUCCCUUAUUAAUCUUGUGUUCUCCUAUCUUUUACAUUCAGCUGGUAUACUUAAGCCUUGCUUGUGGAAUGUUUUAACCUUUAAAUUCACUACCCCUGGAUGUUGGAUUUUCUAGAACUUCAAAAUGAUUAAUGGAGAAAGAUCCCAUUAUCGAUAUCGCUAUAAGAAAUUUUAUUUAUACUUCCAAAGAUACAUUAUAUAUUUAUGUGUAUCUCUUUAUACAUGACAUUUAAGCAUCCAUAAACUGUCAGACAGAGGAAGGGGGUUGAGUGUAAAGAUUCUGUUGACCUAGGGGUUGCCUGCUUAAUGUCACUUGUUAGUGAUCUAUUAUUUAUUUCAUAUUUUGAAGAAUUUAAAGGGCAAUCCUGCUUGUUUGUGUUGUUAUCUCCUUCUAACUUACGGUCGUACCUAAAGAGCAUAGUUUCAUAUGUGUUACCCUGAGAUGUACAGAAUUUCACAUUUGCCUCAGAUUAAGCUUAAUUUCCCACAGAAUAGAGCUGUUGUGACUGAACUUAGGUUGAUGUCAAAAGAGGUAAAUUAUUGGCAUGCCUAGAUAAUUUGACCAUUUCCUAAUUCAUAAGUCUACAUUAAUUUUGAUUUUGAGUUGACUGAUUUCUUUUCAAGGUCUGCUUACUUAACGGAGUGACCAAUGUUUUUCAACUAAAUUUAUCAUAUGAUGCAGGAAGCAGGGCAGGAUAUGAAAUGAGAAGCUCAUUGGUGGAAGUAUUGCCUGUAACAGAACCCAAAGAAAAUGAAACUAUUUCAAGGCAGCAGUUGGCAGUUGCAAGUGAAUGGAGGCCCUUGCCAAAAUUCUCAAGCGGUUGCAAUGCAAUUACGAUCAUCCUCAGCCUCAGGUAAUUUCUUCUCCUGCUUUGUUUUUAUUUGUUCUCUAAUUAGGAAGCAUAAAGUAUCUUGAAUCAUUUUCUGUAUCUGGAAUAUAUGCAAGAGUUUCUAAAAUUUUGAUAUGAGUGUAAUGAUGGUAAUUUCUGUUUUCUGUCUGUCAUCAAAUGUUAGAAAACUUUCAUUGAGACCCUUGAACCGAGUCAUUUUUGACAAGUGAAGUGCUGAAGAGUGAGGAGUAAGAAUGGUGCUAGAUUGGGGAAUAAAGCAAAAGGAGGUAAAUUAUUGGCAGCUUCUUCAGCCUUAUUUUCUUUGGACCAGUGCCUAAUUCACAAGUCUCCGUAAUUUGGCUUUUGACCAGUUGAUAGAUAAAAUUUUAAUUUCAUUGGUGCUAAUGUACCCGUGAAGCAGGCAGAGAAGGACUGUGGAAAAGAGAAGGUUUUUAGUGAAAGCUUAAACUCAGGUAAUUCUAAAAAUUAUAUGUUUUGGCUGAUUUAUCUAAUCAGGAAAUUUUAUUUCCAUCUGUUACAAUAAAACAGAAACAGAACACAAAGAAAAAUAGUCUACCUCUUGUGGCAAUCUUGCCUUCAUUCAGACUAUGAAACCAUUUCCUUUCACCAAUUUCUUCCAAAAGUUUGAACACGUUUCAUGGUUGGACAUAGUUAGCUUCUUUCUCUUUUGGUGCAUUUAGGUGCUAUCAAGUGACAGCCAUAAGUAUGAUUGCAUUAUUGGGAAAUUUUAGGUUUUGAUGGCUCCCCAUGUUAUUGCCAAGAAAUUUUAAGUCCUCAUGUCAGAAGCUGCGUUUCUUUUCAUCAGCCUGAACCCGAACCUGUCACUAUGGAUAACUGAGGUUUUUGUCAUCAACUAUAUCAUCUUUUUCACUGUUUUGAAACUGUUAAGAUUAAACUUCAGUAAAGUUGUUUCAGUUAUCCAUGUAAUCAGGCUAAGGAUAUUUAGCAGCUUAUUUAGGCAACUGCCAGAAUUUAGUUUGUUCGCUCGAAACUUGUAUGGUGACAAGGAUACUGGCAAGGAUAGUGAGAUAGUUUUUUGUGUGAGUGAAUUUUGAAAGCUUGGGUGUUCUGGGAUUUGCAAUUGCAAUCAUCCUCUGCUUUAGGUGAUUUCUUCUCCUGUUCUGUCUUUAUUUUCUCUCUAAUUGAAAGCAUUUCAAUCAAAUUCUGUACCAGGAAUACGAAAAAUUUACUAAUAUUUUAUUUCCAUCUGUUUGCAUUGAUAACUUGGCCGCAUAUGUACUAGUUAAAGAACAAACAGAAGCAGAGUUCAGGAAAAAGUUUCUUCGGCCACCAUAUUUGAAAAUGAAACCAAUUCCAGGAAGCAGUUGGCAGCAAAUUCAUACAAAGUAUAGACAAUGAUGUGCAAAAAGGUGAUUCGCAAUUUCAUUUUUUUAAAAUGAAAUUAUUUGUUAAGUUGGAGCUGAUAUUGUUAGAAGGCCAUUGAGCUAACCUAUGACACUGCUUGCCUAGAUUGCAGGAGGUCAAGGCUCAAAAGAUGCACUGAAUUUUAAAAGGCAUGCAAUAAUUCUUAUGGCCAUUUGUCAAUGGUGGAAUGCUUUUAGCUUCUUUUCCUUUCGUGCAUUUUGGGGUUCUAUCAAGCGACAGCCGUAUGUAUGGAUGGAUAUAGCUGCUGCGUUGAUUUCUAAUGCGGUGGAGUAAUCGUCGUUAGAAUCUGAAUGAUAUGUCUAAGACGUUGCAUGCAUCAAGAAAAUUGCAGAUGAUUAAACCUUGCCAUCUAUGCGUUGUAUGAGGUUAUAGCAACUAUCUAUCUGGUCACCGUUUUAAAAGAAUAAGACAAAGGGAAAAAGAGAAAGAAAAGAAUGAUUCGACAAUGGCAUUAAAGUUCAACAUACCCCAAGAUCUUGUAAUAAUGCCAUUAAUCAUUUCUAGCUAGGCUAGCCUUAGAGAAAAGUGAAACUGUUGCACAGGUAGAAUCACACCCCUCAGAGAUAAUGUGUUUUUAUUCAGCUCUUCGAAUGAAUGAAGUUUAUUUUCUCGUCAAAAAAAAAACUGCUCGUUCCGCUGGUUUCAUACAAUGUCAACUAGAAACAUCAUACUUUCGUAUAAGUUCAUUAUUGUUUCUUGGAAAUAUCAGAAUAUUUCUUAGAGUUUGUAUAAAAUGAAAAGAUUUUAAAAUAUAAAUUUAAUAUUUGUUUAUUACCGUUGUUUGGUCUAAUUUCCUCGGGAGAAUUUUCAGAAUUUAUAGGACAUUAGUUUAUAAUUUGCGCAUUGACAUAUAUCUUAUUUUAUCAUUUUGAAUGAAUUGCACGGCGAGGCUUAUCAACUUUGGAUGAAUCCUCCAAUUGUCGCAGUCCAAGACUGGCUGCAGUGAGUGAAAAUUUACCCAUAUAUAUGCUGGCUAUUUUUAUUGGCGACGAAUUCGUUGUAGUUGGUCCAUCUUGCUAUUCUCGGACAAUAUUAGAGAAAAUAAUCAUAUUAUUUCGCGUGAUGUGACCUUCCAUAACUUAUCAAUUGAAUUACUGUAAAAUUAUUGUGUAAGUUUAGGCCCAAUGGCACUUUAGUUCGAUAGCCUGGAUUUAAAAGGAAAACUAUAUUGCAUUGCUUCAAAAAAAAAAAAUUAAUGUUUUUAAUAUGAAUAUUCUUAACUAUAUUCAGUUAAAAUAAUAUAUUCUUAAUAUUAAUAUUCAUAGAUGAAAUUCUUUUGUGGAUUUAAGAAUAAAAUAUCAAAUAGUUUUAUUUUUCUUUUGUUGUGUAACUUGGACCGAAAAAGAAAAUGAGCUUAACAUGACCCUCCUUCCGGCACUAUGCAUGUUUUUCUUUUAUUGAUGACAGUGCUCUUGGUGCUUCUCAUCUGCUUCUUGCUUUGGUUUCAAACAAGUCUUUCUCCGUCGAGACAUUUAUUGUAAUUUGAUUUGGAGACAUCUGUCGUUCAAAUAUAUUUCAUAUGCAAGCUGUUGAUAAUUCUGCUUGAGAAAGCCUACAAAGCAGCUGUGUGAUGUAAUAGAAGACUAUAUAUGCAAACGGUCAUCAGUUUCUCUUGAAUUCUUUCUUGAGUUUCUUUGAAUUAUUUGUGAAUGAGUUCUUAAUCGGCUGCUGCUCUUCAGGAAAAGGAAAGUGUUGCAAACUGGUGAAGCUGAUCGAUAAAAGCAAUGUACCAUCUUUGCUGGCAUGGAUCGAUGCCAGUGAGUUUUUUUAUUUGUCAACCUUUUUAAUAAUGCAUAUGUUUUUCUUCAACUUGAAGCGGCAUAUAAGACGAAAGAAGUGAUCUUUAAAGCAUUCUAUGGCAUUAUCCUUUCCUAUUAUAUAUAUCCAAUUGCUCCAAAUUAUUUGUAAAUUACUGAACACGAAUGCUGAUGAAUAAACUGAUGGCUCUAUGUAUGUAUGCACAUGCAUGGAGAAAUUUUAAGUCAGACAUUCUCAUAUAUAACUCGUGGGACCAAAUCAUUAAAUAAUCUUGAAAUCAAAGUAAUAAUUAAAUACAAAUAAAUUGCUCGAAUUGUACAUAUAUCUGAAUCAUGUAGUGAAGAAAAUACAACAACAACAACCAAUGGCUCAAAUUCCCCAUCAACUUCUAGUCUCAACACUUUUGAGUGUCAGAAGCAUUACUCUGCUACCAGUUAACAAACAUAUAAUUAGUAAUUUGCCAUUCACUUCCCUUUUAGGCCUAACACAUUUUCUAUAAAGGAGCCACAGAGUGAACUCAGCAGGAAACACUCAAUUUCAACCUACGUAGGACCAGGAAUUUCAACAAAAAAAAAAGUGUGCAAUUGCUUAUCCUAUCCUAUUGCUACUAGAAAGAAAGUGAACAAUUAAUUUCAGUGAAUAAAUUAAAAAAAAUUACUUCUGCAGAUACUCAAGCUAAGAACACAUUAACCCAUUAAAGACUCCAAAUUGCAUCAAACAAAUUGUUGUUAAACAAGUAAAACAAAGAAAGAGAGUUAAGGAAGCUGACCUAGUAGUAGGGGAGCUGAAGAAAGACUGCCAGUGAAUGUAAGAGAAAAUAAAAUGCAAGAAAUGGUGAAGUGCAGCUUUUCAUGUCAACUUGAAAUUGUUUCUUCUGUUUUUUGUAAUCUUUUGGAUUUUUCAAACAAAGAAAAUGAGGAGCAACCAGGGAGAUAAAAAGGGCGCCAAGGCAACUGUGUGUUGGGUUUAGAGCCAAAAAAAAAAAAGAAUAAGACAUCGUGUUCUUGUGGAGACCAGACCUAUUACGUAUAGGGAUGGCAAUGGGGCGGGGUGGGGGUGGGGAUGCCUACCCCAUUCCCCACCCCAUUAAAAAUUUUUGCCUCCAUUCCCCACCCCAUUCCCCAAUAAAUUUAGUGGGUUGGGGAUGGGGAAUCCCCACGUGGGGAAUGAUUCUCCCAUCCCCACCCCAUUCCCCAUUUACAUAUUUUAUAGUAGAUAUAAAAAUAUGAUUUCAGUAAAUUAAAAAUUAGAGACUUAAGAUAAAAUCAUCACAAUAUUAUAAAGUAUUUAAUUUUAAAAAAAAAUCUCUAAAAAUUUGAAACAAUAUCUUAAAAUGAUAUUAAAAGUGAAAAAUAUUUAAAGAAAGCAGCACCUUAAAAGAGAAAAGAAAAUAUAUUAAUGUUUUAAAGUUGAAAAAUAUUGUAGAAUUUUCUUUUAUUCAUAUUCUAUUUAUAUUACAUAAAAAUUAAAAAAAAUUAUUAAUUGACAUUAUAGUUGAUAAAAUAUAAAUUAUUAAAUAAGAAUUAAAAACAUAUUUAUAUAUAAUGGGGAUUGGGGUGGGAGUGGGGUGGGGAGUGCAAUACCAAACCCCACCCCGUUAACAAUUUGGGGAUUAUUUUUUCCCCACUCCCCACCCCAUUCCCCAAAAAUUAUUAAAAAAUUUCCCCAUUUGGGGUGGGGCUCCAUGGGGCCCCAAACCCGUGGAGGAUUUUGCCAUCCCUAAUUACGUAACGUCCCCUUCAAUACCACUUGUUCCGUAUCUGGUUUUUUCUUCGUCUUUUACAUAUUUAUCCUGUGAUUUUACAAUAACUAAAUAAUCCCCGCAUAGUUUGCAAUUUUAUUCAUUUGGGCCCUACAGAUUUCAGUAAUAGGAAUUAUUAAGGGACAAGAGCGCAAAACAGAAACUCUGUCCACUACUGAUGAUAUAACAACGAACCUUUGUAGUUUCUGCCUGUUAAUAUGAAUUGAUCAGGAGUGUUUCCUCACUUACAAAUUACGAAUUUACAAAAUAUGUAUGUAAGUAUGUGUGUACGUACGUGUGUAUGUAUGUACAUAUAUGCAUACACCUAUGUAACAUUUACUUAUACAUUCUUUUGAGUUUAAAUCUUAAUACACAUUUUCAUGAAAUUUUUAUUUUAUUAAGUAUACAACUACAUACAACUACAUUAAUGUAUAUAUUUUUUAUAUAAGACAUGCCGUCCUAUUAUUCAUAAGUAAACAAUGUGUUGUAAAUAGUAUUCUGUGUUUUCUCAAAGUUGACUUUUCGUCUUUUAUUUUCAGACGCAGACGCUAUGUCAUUUUGUAAUCUUCAAAACAUAUGCAGAGCAGAAUUGGUGUUAUAUGAUUUUGUGAUGCAAUAAGAUUUGCACUUCCUGUGCACUCAAUGGAAUCAUUUCUUUGUAACUAAUUGGGUGGUGGAAUGGUGGUCAAAUAUCGAACGAAGACAGAUCUAUCAAACUCCAGAAACAGGGAAACCAUGCCACGCUAGUAGACAAUAUGCUAGUAUGAACAAACUUGUUUGAAUGGCAAAAACGACAUGACCUGCUGUAGUAUUAGUUCUUUCCCGAACCAAAGGGUGAUUUGCUACGUUAGAUCAUGAAAAUUGAAAAAAAAAAUUAACCAAAAUAAAAAUUCUUACGGUAAGAAUAAAAAUUCUUAAGGAAUUAGUUAGUUAAUUGAUUGAUCGAAUUUAAUCUAAAUUGGAAAAUGAUAAGAUAAUUUUGAAUUUUUUAUUAUAAUUAUUAUUUUAAAGUGGGGUGGGUUUAUACAAUUUGAGGCUUUGAGCGGUGUAAAUAUCACUGCUGAAUUAUUAAAUAUACAGUGUAAAAUUUUGACCUUUAAAAUAUUCCUUUUUUUCAUUUAGCACUAUAAGUUUAAAAAUUUAACAUUUUACCUCAAUAAUUAAAUACUUUUAACUUUAAUCUUCAAAUAUUUACCCUACAACAUUCGGACCUAAAUUUUUAAUCCGACUCGGCCCCUGACCCAAGUGGGAAGAAGAUCAGGCUUAUAAGUUAUAACUAUCACCAACAUAACAUCUUCUGGAAAAUAAUAAGAUUACUCACCUGCAAUUAUGUGAUCAAACUAAUGGUAAGCAAAAUAGAACAGCGUUAUUUCAGUCCCCUUUCAGUUUCUUUAUCAUUUUUCUUUUCCUAUUUAUAAGCUUAAUUCGGUCCAAUAUCGGCUAAUUCACUUUGAUUUCACUUUUCUUUCUUUCGGUUCAAAAAAAUUGAACCCAUUGGCUGUCAAUUCAAUUUUGUUGAAAACCAACUUUGCCUGAAUUUGAGUAAUAAUAGAGGAAAAAAAAAGUGUACUUAGCAGAAGAGAUUUCUCAUUUUUUUCUCAUUCAAACUUCUAAAAUAAAGGGAAAAAAAAAACAAGAGUAAUUGUUAAUUAUCAAAAAUUUGUUUAUACUAUUCCACCAAGAAAAUUAUAAAAAAAAAAUUUAAAAAUUGGAGAAGAAAUAUGAGGUGAAAUACGUGGAUGGCUUAGACUAAUAAUGUGAACAAAUUCCUCUCGGAAACAUGUCAUUGUUCAUCCGGACAACACGCGGCAAUGAGAUUCAAGAAUUAAAUGAUAGGAAUCAACUGUAACCUCAUAAACAAAUGGCCUUGGAGUUGUAAACACCAAGCUCGGCAGAUUAAUUAAACAAGAAUAUCCGAAUUUUCUAUGAUAAUCUCUAGGAAACGAUCAGCUAUAAUAUACGAAAUUAAAAUAUUGCAUAUAUUUUUGAACUCAUGCAUUAAUUUCAAAAAUUAUAUCGUAUUAUAAUUUAUUCACAAAAGAAAGAAAAAUUCACUAAUCAAUUGAAUAAAUAUAAGUAUUUCAUCCAGUGUAAUACUUAUAUCAAUUGAAUAAAUAUAAGAAAAAUCACCAAAAUUCACUAAUCAAUUGGAUAAAUAUAAGUAUUUCUUCCAGUGUAAUUUUUGUUUAAUAGAAAAUCUAUUUGAGAUUUUGUGAGAAGAAACUCAACAAUAAAGUGUGAUAGACUUUGUGGGUAUUAAGAGUUUGACAAGUAUUUGAAAUCUGAAGUUUACGAGCAAACAAACUGAAAUCCGAAGUUUACUGAAGUUUACUAUCAAGAGUUUCAAAACAGUGAAAAAGAUGAUAUAGUUGAUGACAAAAACCUGAGUUAUCCAUAGCGACAAGUAACAUACUGAAGUAAGCCGUUGGGAGCUGGCCUGUUCAUGGGCUAUUUUUCUCUGAUGAUCUGCAUUUUUCUUCCUUUUAAGUGAACCUUGACUCGUAUCAAACCUGUCAAAAGAACAGUUCAUCAACUGAGCUGAGAUUUGCUUUCCUUUUUCAAAACCCACCUGAGAUAUUGUAAUUCCCAAAUUUCUCUCUCUCAGCUACACGAGCAAGCAGCCGCUUUUUCACUUCAUCGAAGAAGGUAAGCGAUAUAUCUAUUUCGUCCGAUUGAUUUCUUGUUUCCUUUUCAGUGUUCCGGUAAAUUAUUGGCAUGCCUGACUUUUUGACCAUUACACGAUUCAUAAAUUUAUAUUAAUUUUGAUUUUGAGUUGACCGUUUACUUUUACAGGUUUGCUUACUUUGACUAGGUGACCAAUUUCUUGUAACUAAAUUUAUGACGUGGGCAGGAUAUGAAAUGAGAAUCUUAUUAGUGGAAGGAUUGCCAGUAACAGAACCCAAAGAAAAUGAAACCAUUUCAAGGCAGCAGUUGGCAGUUGGCAGUGAAUGGAGGCCCCUGACAAAACUUCAGUAAACUUCAGAUUUCAGUUUGUUUGCCCGAAAAUUGCAUGGUGACAAGGAUACUGGCAAGGAUAAUGAGAUAGUUUUUGUGUGAAUGAAAUUACGAUCAUCCUCAGCCUCGGGUAAUUUCUUCUCCUGCUUAGUUGUUAUUUGUUACCUAAUUAAGAAGCAUAAAGUAUCUUGAAUCAUUUUCGUUGUCCGGAAUAUAUGCAACAGUUUUUUACGAUCAUCCUGAAUGACUACUAGAGACAGUCAAGCUAAUGACUAUAAAUUAAGCGCUUCUUGGGAGGUAACCCAAGCUUUCUAAACUUUAUUAUUGUCAAUUUUUUUUCAUAUUUUUUUCUUUUCUUUUACUUAUUUUAUUUUGUUUUAUCUAGAUUUUGCACGAGUUCGAGGGUCGAUGAACAUCAACUUUCCACAUGUCUUUCAACGGCUUAGCUACAACUUUACAUCUUCAAGUGCAAAACCGGGGGAGUUUCUCUUUUCCUUUUCUUUUUCUUUACAUUGAGGACAAUGUUUAUUUUAAGUUUGGGGGUGGGAAUAUUUGCUUUUCAUUUUUUUCCCAAAAAAAAAAGAUUUUAAUGCCUAUGAUGAGUUUAUGAUUGAAAAUGAAUAUGGUUCUUAGAAAGGGAUGAAUAUUAUCUUAGUUUAUACUUGAUUCUUGUGUUAGUUUCGUCUUGAUUGAGAUUCUUUAAAGCGAUUCUUUUAGAAUUUUGACUUGAGAUUUGAGAUUGAUACAGCCUAAGUUGAGAAUUUUAGAUUGAGUAAAUGAUUGUUUGCCUCGAUUCUACAUUACUUAAGUUUACCCAGGCACCAUAGUCAGAAAUAGCUACCUACAACCCUUAAGAGUGAAGCUAUCCUCGAGUAAUUUGGGCCUAUGUAUCACCAGUAUGUAGAGGAUAAUCUACCAUGAGAAGAAGGUUACCUUAAGGGGUAGAGUGAAAGCUCCUGACUAUGGACAAAGAAAUGAAAAAAAAAAAGAAAAAAAAAAGAGCACGAGCUUCAAGAAAAAUCAAAAGAAAAUGCUAAUUUAUGCCUGAGAAAAAAAAAAAAAGAUCAAGAUGAUGAGGUUAGUUUGACCUACCCUGUUUAUUAUUCGAGACAAGGGCUGUUGAUGUUGAAGAUCUUGAGAAUGAGUUUUGAUUGAAUUGAUUCACACACAACACAUGAAUCCAAUAUGAGAUGAGGCUGACCAUUGAAUUAAAGUUAGAACUUUGCUAGUAUUUUUAAUUUUCUUUGAGCUAUAUACUUUAUGCAAUCUUUGAGGCAUUUUUUAUGAUGUUUGUGGGUAUCAUCGCUGGAAACCCUCACGAGACUAUAACUCGUCCACUAGGGCCGCCUAGGGGUUUAAAGGCUUGUUGCAUACGCUAAAUGCAAUCGCGAUCACCUGCGAAAGUGGUUUAGUUAGAAUUUUCUUUUCGUAGUUUUUAUUUUAGUUUUUGCUCGAGGACUAGCAAAAUGUUAAGUUUGGGGGUAUUUGAUGUGCUCAUAAUUUAUCUAUUAUUUUAAUGCUUCCAUAACUUAAUUUUAUGUUAAAUUAUAUUUUAUUAUAUUAAUUUUUAUCUUAAUUUUUAUAUUUUGUCAUUGUAGGAAUAUUGAGAAUAUUCAUGAGAAAAGAAGCUUAAAGAGGAAACAAGUUGGAGUAUAAUGGAAAUAAUGUGGAAGCAAGAGGGAAAGAAAUAAAAAGCCAAAUCAAAGAAAAUUUAAUUUAAGCAUCAUGCAUGCAGUCACGUGAUGAAUAAAGGAAGAGAAGAAAAGGUCAAUAGGCUUUUAAUUUCAAGCUAGUUACGUAGAGCCCAUUUGACAAUUUAAAUGGCAAGCUUACAAUAUAUUAAAGGAAGCAAAUAUUUUGGCAUUGUUUGAAAAGGCUAUUCACGUGGAUGGGCUUUGGUUUCAAUUUUGAUUGGCUUAGGAAUGAAAUAGGCGGCUGGGCUUUUGUUUUUAAUUCCUUUCAUAAGAGGAUUUGACAAGCCACAACAUUAUAAAAAGGGAAAAGCCAAGCGGAAGCCAAAAAAAAAAAAAAAAUAAUAGAGCAGCAGCCGCAAGUUUUGAGCAAAACCGAGAGCAGCAUGAAUAAUUUGGAGCAGAAGGAAGACACAUUAAUUCUUGAGUUUUUCUUUCUCUCUUCUCUAUUAUCUUAUUUGAAUGUUUCCCAUUAAAUUCAUGGAUUAUCUUUAUAUUCCCAUGAACUAAUUUAUUUUACUAGAGCUACGAUGUCCUAGUGUUUUAAUCUCUUGGUGAUUUCUAUUACUGCUUGCAUCUUUAUUUGAUUUUUAGUUAUUUUAAUUUUUAAUUUAAAUUCGCUUAUUUGAUUGUUCAAAUAAAUUAGGGUUAGGAUAAUUUCGGUAACUAAUAGGAUAUUCAAUCUCAGUGGGAUGAUACUCUACUCUUCACUAUAUUACUUGUGCCGACUAGUACACUUGCUAAUUUAUGCAAUAGUUGACAGUUGGGAGUGAAUGGAGGCCCUUGACGAAACUUCAGUAAACUUCAGAUUUCAGUUUGUUUGCUCGAAACUUGCAUGGUGACAAGGAUACUGGCAAGGAUAAUGAGAUAGUUUUUGUGUGAAUGAAAUUAUGAUUAUCCUCAGCCUCAGGUAAUUUCUUCUCCUGCUUAGUUGUUAUUUGUUACCUAAUUAAGAAGCAUAAAGUAUCUUGAAUCAUUUUCGUUGUCUGGAAUAUAUGCAACAAUUUUUAAAAUUUUGAUAUGAGUGCAAUGAUUGUAAUUUCUGUUUUCUGUCUGUCAUCGAAUGUAAGACAACUUUAUUAAGAUUCUUGAACCGAGUCAUUUUUGACAAUUGAAGGACAAGUGCUGAAGAGUGGGAAUGCAAAAAGUUUUGUUGUUUUUAGCCUUGUUUUCUUUGAACCAGCGCCUGAUUCACAAGACUCCAUUAAUUUGGCUUUUGAUCAGCUGAUUGAUAAAUGUUCAAUUUCUUUGGUGAUAAAUGUAAUUGUGAAGCAGGCAGCAGGGCAUGACUGUGGAAAAGAGAAGAUUUUAGUGAAAGCCGAGACUCAGAUAAUUCUACGCGUUUUGGUUGAUUUAUAUAAUUCGUGAAAUUUUAUUUCCAUCUGUUACAAGAUCAAACUGCAAUUAGCAAUUUAACAUUCCCUUAAAACCACUAGCUACAUUUCAUCUUUGCACAAUUACACUUAAAAUUCCACUAAAAGAAACUCUUGAGUUGCUCGCAAGCUAUAUAUCAUUAUUCAUUGAAUUCUUACUGUUGAUGCGAGAUUCUGGUUACACUCUUCCGGCUACCAGGAUAUCUGCUCGAUCAACCUCACCUCGACUAGGAUCUCUCCUCGUAUGCUUUCUUCUCCAAGUACUCAUGCGUUCACAGAAACAAGUCAGAGCACGCCGGUUGUUUUCCCGGCGUAAACCCUCCGACGCUCAAGUCAGAUAUGAAGGCUUUGGGAACGCUUGCCACAGAUCUUAUGGCUUUGUAAAUAGUUUUCUCUUCUUUUCAAUUUCCUUAAUCUCUCUUCUAAUCUCGAAAUUGCUAACCCUUUUACCUUCGCUGGCUACCUUUUUAUAGGCCACUUCUGAGCCCAGGCCUUUUUCCCUUUGCGCUCGUCAUCCUCCCACUUCUCGAAAGUGGAUGCUCCAUUUCCGUAGUCGUGGGUGGUUGCGUGGCCCUCGUGCCUAGAUUCUCGGACUGGAAAGCAUGCCACGCCAACUGUCGUUGACCGGGUCUUCUCGAAUCAACCCUUAGCAGGAAUACAGCAGGAAUGGCUUCAGGCUUCUUAUAGGAGAUUGGCCUCGCGGAUGACGUGCUCGUGGACGAGCAGGGUAUUCCUGCUCCUGCUCCUGCUCCCCCGGAUGCCAGGCUCUUACGGGACCCAUCGGCUCGCAGAACUCUACCAUCAGAUAUCUGCUCAUCAUGCCUGGUCUCGUCGACGUAUUUCUCCUAAACACCGGUCCCCCAGUUUCUGGUGUUGGGUAAUGUAGUGGACCAGCAGUAGAAACUCGACAGUACUUGCUCGCGUGGGGUUGGAAAAGGCUUCCAAGAGUCAUGUCGCAUUUAAUUGCGGACGAGGUGAUGUGGCAGAGAUCUAACCCUCCAUUUGAAUUUCAAACCAACGGUUACGAGACCCUUGGGAUUUGGUGCCGUUAAAUGCUGGCAACCCAAGAUUUCGUCCCCAUUAGGAAACCCAAAUCCUUUCGAACGACAAAUUCAUCAUUCACUCCGUCUCCAUCUCUGUCUCUCCGGCAAAGAAGUUCCAGCAUAAAGGCCUCCAUCUCUGUCUUUCACCGACUGAACCAUUACUUCAGGUAUUUCUUCUAUUUCCUUAGUCUCGGAUAGUUGUAGAUAAUUUCUCUUCUCUUUUGCUUGGGUAGUAGUUGGUGGUGGUGUUGUGGUUAGAGCUUAGGGAAUGUCGAAAGGCAAAGAGAAUGUCAUUGAGGUUGACGACGAUGAGUUGGACUUCCUGCCUAGUUUGCUCACCGAUCCUGCUUUUGACCCCGGGAUCCCCUUAGAGCUCAUUAGAUCUAGUGUUGGCACUAGCGCUAGGAGGAUGUCCCCCCAAACAACCUCCACGAGUGGAAGUAGUGGUGAGGAGAGACCCUCUGGCUCGGAAGACACCCUAAGUGAGGAUCAAUGAGGUGACUCUGGGGAGGGGUCUUCACCAGGAACACCGCGACCAGAAGGGUGUAGUACAGUAGGAGGUAGAGCCUUGUCGCGGGAUUAUGCCAUUGAUUACAUGACCUGUACGACCACAUUCAACGAGCUGGAUGACCUCCGGCUCAGGUAUAGCAUUCCUGGUGAAAUUCCUCUCAAGAUCCCAGGAAAGAAGGAUACACCUAGCCGGCCUCCUCGGGGAUACGUUACCCUAUUUUUGGAGAGUUUUAGGCAUGGGCUGAGGUGUCCCUUGCAACCCUACUUUGCCCGGAUUCUUAACGGGCUAAACCUAGCUCCUGGUCAGCUGAACCCCAACGGGUGGAGAGUGCUCUCUGGUCUGUUCAUACUGUGGGACAGAUGUUGUCAAAGCGAGCCCACGGUCGACGAGGUGAAGCACCUGUACCAACUGAAAAGCAGCCCCAAAGACGUCGGCUGGUAUUACUUCCAAUCAAGUACCAAGAUCAGAAAACCCAUAACCGAUCUUCUUACUGGUGAUGGUGGGAAUUGGAAGAGGAAGUUCUUCUUCGCAGGGGGUCCCUUGUUGUUUGCACUUCACUGGUUUGUCUCUAAUCAAAUGUUUGUUUGUGUUGCAGGUUCUUGGGGUGUCCACUUCCCGCUUAAACCUGACCAGCUCAAACGAGUCGAGGCUGUACUAGCCAAUUCCUGCUCGAACCGAGAGCUGUUAACUAUAUACAACUUGCUCGAGUCUCGCUUGAUGCUUCCUGGCCAUAGGAUGGAGGACGCUGUGAUUGGGGCUCUGACCAGGAAACGUUCUCGACCUCCAACCACGAAGAGGGACCAGAGUAAGGACGCCCCUACUGCAAAGCGGGCCAACGUCGUGCAGCAGGUCUCUCCCUUGAAGACUUUACCUCCUGCUCCUGUCAAAGUCGGGGAAACUAGUGGAGCAGCCACAGAUCCUGCUUCCUCUUCUUCUCCUGUCGGCACUCGGUCUCGCUUACCUGACAGCCGAUCAGAACAAUUGGUCCCCUAUCUCAAUGAGUUAUCUAACCUCGUGAGCAAGAAUGACAUGGAGGACUUCGAUGGCUGCACCUUGGGUGAGCUGGUGGGGGCCAUGCAGUAUAGCGCUUUUCACCUCAGCUGCAUGACCACCUAUUACAAGGCCAAGGUUGGGCGCUACGACCGAAAGAUGAAGGAGGACAUUCAAUCGGCGACGACUAGAGCUGGCGUUGCCGAGAAAAAGGCAGGGGAGCUGAAUGUUGAGAACCUCAAGCUGAUGGAGCAGGAAUCUCUUGCUCAAGCAAAAGCCAUUACCCUCGAGGAGGAGCUGACCAAGGUCAAGGGGGAUCUGCAAAGGCAGAAGGCCACGUAUGAGGCUCAGCUCGAAUCCCUCCGCGACUCCCACCGGGCUCACGUCGAGAACUUGGAGAGGGAGGCCAAGAACCAGUAUGACCAGGGACUUCGGCAUUCCUAUCGUUGCAUCAUGGCCGUCCUCGGGAAGCAGCACCCUGAUCUGAAGAUGGAUGAUCUUGCAGUUGGUGUUGCUCAACAUAUGGACGAGGAAGCGGCCAAGGAAGAUGCCGAAGGGGUAGAGCCGAUCGUGAUUGAGGGGGAAAACUCUCCUCCUCGCACAAUCCCUGCUGACGUUGGCGAGGCGAGCACCGCUACUGAUGUUGGCGAGGCGCGCACCCCCCCGGACGCAACUGGUGAUACCCCCCCCCCGCACCUGAGGAGGUCCAGCCAACCAAUGCUGCUCGGCUUACUGAUCCGCCAUCUUCUUGAUAUAUUUCUUGUAUUGUAAUGAACAACGUUGAUGGAGAUUAUCUCCUCUGUUAAUUAUUAACACAUAAAUAAAGAUGUUUUUGAUUAUUUUCGUGUUGUAAUCAUGAGUUAUUUUUCGUUUAAUAAUCUGCCCGUCAUCGUCUGGUUGAGCAGGUUCUGGCCUGGCAUAUGGUUUUACCACAUGCCCUAGAAAAUUCUUCAAUGAUUGAGAUUCUGCUCGCCUUCGCGUGGUCGAGCAGAUCCUGGCACGCUUGGCUUCUGUCUCGCCAUAAACAGGCUUUGAGACUCGACGAGCCUUUGCAUGCCUUAGAAAUAUUUUUUUUUUUCGAUGCUUGGGGGUUCUGCUCGCCUUCGCGUGGUCGAGCAGACCCUGGCACGCUUGGCUUCUGUCUCGCCAUAAACAGGCUUUGAGACUUGACGAGCCUUUGCAUGCCUUAGAGAUUUUUUCGAUGCUUGGGGAUUCUGCUCGCCGUCACGUGGUCGAGCAGAUCUUGGCACGCUUGGCUUCUGUCUCGUCAUAAACAGGCUUUGAGACUUGACGAGCCUUUGCAUGCCUUGGAGAUUUUUUCGAUGCUUGGGGAUUCUGCUCGCCGUCACGUGGUCGAGCAGAUCCUGGCACGCUUGGCUUCUGUCUCGCCAUAAACAGGCUUUGAGACUUGACGAGCCUUUGCAUGCCUUAGAGAUUUUUUCGAUGCUUGGGGAUUCUGCUCGCCGUCACGUGGUCGAGCAGAUCCUGGCACGCUUGGCUUCUGUCUCGCCAUAAACAGGCUUUGAGACUUGACGAGCCUUUGCAUGCCUUGGAGAUUUUUUCGAUGCUUGGGGAUUCUGCUCGCCGUCACGUGGUCGAGCAGAUCCUGGCACGCUUGGCUUCUGUCUCGCCAUAAACAGGCUUUGAGACUUGACGAGCCUUUGCAUGCCUUAGAGAUUUUUUCGAUGCUUGGGGAUUCUGCUCGCCGUCACGUGGUCGAGCAGAUCCUGGCACGCUUGGCUUCUGUCUCGCCAUAAACAGGUUUUGAGACUUGACGAGCCUUUGCAUGCCUUGGAGAUUUUUUCGAUGCUUGGGGAUUCUGCUCGCCGUCACGUGGUCGAGCAGAUCCUGGCACGCUUGGCUUCUGUCUCGCCAUAAACAGGCUUUGAGACUUGACGAGCCUUUGCAUGCCUUGGAGAUUUUUUCGAUGCUUGGGGAUUCUGCUCGCCGUCACGUGGUCGAGCAGAUCCUGGCACGCUUGGCUUCUGUCUCGCCAUAAACAGGCUUUGAGACUUGACGAGCCUUUGCAUGCCUUAGAAAUUUUUCACAGUUUCAAGUGAAUGAAAUUCCUCGACGUUCCAUUAAUUGUAGGAUUCAACUUACAUGAAAAUGUUUGGUCGUAAAAUAAAUAACAGCAAAUACGAACAGAAAGAUCUUGAAAAUAUUAACGACUCUUACUGGAAAUAUUUCCUGAGAUGUGCUGCGUUCCAUGGGCGCUUCACCUCGUGGCCAUCCAUGCGAACCAGCUUGUAAGCUCCUGGUCCCACUAGCUGCUUGACUCUAUAUGGCCCCUCCCAAUUUGGACCGAGCACUCUUUGAGUCGAGUCUUUGGUGUUCUGAUUCACUCUCCUUAACACCCAAUCUCCGACCUUGAACUGCCGUAUGUUCACCUUCUGGUUAUAAUACCGGGCAACCCUCUGCUGGUAAAUGACUGAUCGCUCGGCUGCUUGCUCCCUCUUUUCCGUUAGCAGAUCAAGAUUCAAACAUAUCUGCUCGUCGUUCUCCUGUUCAUUGAAAUGAUAUGUCCGGUGCGUGGUCGUUCCUAUCUCAGUUGGCACGACCGCUUCAUGUCCAAAAGCCAAGGCGAACGGUGUCUCCCCAGUUGCUGUUUUGUGGGUUGUUCUGUAUGCCCAUAGCACACCUGACAGCUCAUCAACCCAUGCACCCUUUUUUGCUCCCAGCCUGGUUUUCAAAAGCCUCUUGAUGGUCUUGUUGGCUGCUUCUACUUGUCCAUUCGAUUGGGGGUGAGCAGGCGAGCAAUACUUCAGCUCUAUUCCGAGGUUCUGGCAGAAAUCCCUGAAGCUGUGAUUAUCGAAUUGUCUGCCAUUAUCCGUUACCAGGGCAUAAGGGAUCCCGUAUCGACAGACCAGGUUUCUCCACACAAAGUCUGUUGUUUUCUUCUCUGUGAUCUUGCUAAGGGCUUCUACCUCUAUCCAUUUCGUGAAGUAGUCUAUAGCAACUAUUGCAUGUGUUGCUGCUCCUCGUCCCUUUGGCAGCGGGCCGAUCAGAUCAAUUCCCCAUUGAGCAAAUGGCCAAGGGGAGGCCAUAGAGGUGAGCUUUUCUGGUGGUUGGUUGGAGAAACUUGCAAAACUCUGGCAACUUACACAGCUCCUGGUCUUCUCCUGUGCAUCCUGGUGCAUUGUCGGCCAGAAAUAUCCCUGCCUUAGAACCUUGUGGGCCAGGGACCUCCCACCAGAAUGAUUCCCGCAAAUUCCUUCAUGUACUUCUCUCAGUACGUAAUCUGCGUCGUCCUCAUCCAAACAUCGGAGGAAAGGUAGUAUAUAUCCUCGCCGAUACAGUACCCCAUCAAUCAUCGUGUAUCUUGAGGCCUGGGCUCUAACCUUCCGAGCUCGCAGCUUAUCUGGUGGUAAUACCCCGUCUCUGAGGUAUGAAAUUAUCGGGUCCAUGCACGAGCAUUUUUGUUCUAUCCGCAACACCCCCAAAUUCUGCUCGAUACUUGGGCUGGACUUCACCUCCAGAGGGACCGACUUUGGCAUUUUUGGGUCGGCUACUGCUGCCAUCCUGGCCAAAGUGUCUGCUCGACUAUUCUGCUCCCUGGGGAUCUGUAUCACCUCCACUGCUUCAAAUUUCCCCAUCAUCUGCCUGACUAUCUUCAGGUACUGCUCCAUCUUCUUCUCUCUUGGUUGGAAUCUUUCGCUGACAUGAUUCGCAACCAGCUGGGAAUAAGUUCUGAUCUUCACUCUGUCUGCUUUCACGGCCUUAGCCAAUUCCAAACCUGCUAUCAAGGCUUCAUACUCUGCCUGGUUAUUUGUGGCUCCAAAUUCCAACUUCACAACAUAAGAGAUCUCCUCCCCCUCCGGGCCUUCCAAGACAAUCCCUGCUCCAGAACCCUGCUCCCCUGAUGACCCAUCCACAUACAUCUGCCAUACUUGAGCUUCGCCACUGUCUGUGACUACAUCUGGUCCAUCUAAACAUACUUCGGGCUCUGUGAAUUCAGCUACGAAAUCGGCCAUUGCCUGAGCCUUUAUCGCUGCUCGGGGUUUGUAGUCUAUGUCGAACUCGCUCAGCUCUAUAGCCCACUUGACGAGCCGACCAGAAGCAUCUGGCUUGUGCACAGUUUGACGCAAUGACUGGUUUGUUAUUACCGAGACCGGGAAUGCUUGGAAAUAUGGCCUCAACUUCCGAGCCGCAACCACAAGGGCAAGUGCCCAUUUCUCCAACGGUGGGUAUCUGGUCUCAGCGUCGAGCAGGGCCUUGCUUGUGUAGUAUAUCGGAUACUGAACUCCUUCUUCCUCUCUCACCAGAACAGAACUGGCGGCCCGAUCCGAUACCGCCAAAUACAGAUAUAACUUGUCCCCAUCCCUCGGUGUGGACAGUAGUGGAGCUUGCUGCAAGUAUUGCUUCAAGUUCUGGAAGGCUUCCUCGCAUUCUGGUGUCCAUUCUGUUUUCUUUCCCCUCCUUAUCACUUAAAAGAAUGGCUGACACUUGUCUGUAACCUUGGAUAUGAAUCUGCUCAACGCAGCCAACCUCCCCGUGAGGCUCUGCAUCUCCUUCAGGUUACGAGGAGACCUCAUCUGCACAAUUGCCUGGAUUUUCUCCGGAUUUGCUUCAAUCCCCCUAUGGCUCACCAUGAAUCCAAGGAAUUUCCCUGACUCGACCCCAAAAGCACACUUCUCCGGGUUGAGCUUCAUCUUAUACUUCCUCAAAAGCCCGAAUGUCUCCUCGAGGUGCCUGACAUGUUCCUUCGAGAUUUUGGAUUUGGUGAUCAUGUCGUCCACGUACACCUCCAUGGUUUUCCCAAUCAACGGCUUAAAGACUUUGUUCACCAGCCUCUGAUAGGUGGCCCCAGCAUUUUUUAGACCAAAUGGUAUUACCCUGUAACAGAACAAACCCUGGUUAGUGAUGAAAGCCGUGCUCUCCUCAUCCUGCUCGUACAUGGGGAUUUGGUUGUAUCCCGAGAACGCGUCCAUGAAACUAAGCAGACCGUGUCCAGCCGUUGAAUCUACUAGUUGAUCGAUCUUUGGUAAAGGGAAGCUGUCUUUUGGGCACGCCUUAUUAAGGUCUGUGAAAUCCACACACAUCCUCCACUUGCCAUUUGCCUUCUUUACCAACACCACAUUCGAUAUCCAUUCAGGGUAAUUGACUUCCCGAAUGAACCCUGCUCUCAAGAGCUUCUCCACCUCGACAUUUAUAGCCUCAUACCUCUCCUGAUUGAAGCACCUCCUCUUCUGCCUUACUGCCCGAGCACCUUUCUUUAUUGCCAGCUUAUGACAUGCUACCUCAGGGUCAAUCCCUGGCAUAUCUUCAUGUGUCCAAGCAAACACAUCUGCAUGAGCCUGUAAGCAUUUCACUAACUCCUGCUUUUGCUCUCCCUUAAGUCUCGACCCGAUUCUGAUUGUUUUUCCCGGAUUCUCUGGUCCCAGGCUUACUGUUUCCAGAUCCUCUACAGGUUCUUGUCUGCCAUUCUUGUUUUCCACUCGGGUAUCGAGGGAUGUUAUCUGCAUUGCUUCCCUUGCUGCUGAGGAGUAGCAGCUUCUUGCGAUCCUCUGAUCUCCUCGUACCACUCCAACUACCCCAUUCACCCGGUACUUCAGAGCCAGAUAAUGGUUGGACAGCAUCGCUUUGCUCAUCCUCAGAAAUGGCCGACCUAGGAUCAUCUGGUAAGGACCUUCCUCAUCCACUACCAUAAAGUCCAGUAUCAUUGUCCUUUCUGUCGGGGAGCUCCCAAUCGUGAUAGGCAGCUCGACCAUGCCCAGAGGGACCAGCCUUCCUCCUCCAAACCCCUUCAAGGAGGUAUUGGUGUAAUCCAACUUCAGGUCUGCUAUUCUCAUCUCCUUCAGGGUUGACUUAAACAACACAUCAACUGAACUCCCUGUGUCAACCAGUAUCCUGUCAAACUUCUUGCUAGCAACAGUGGCCUUGAUGACCAAAGCAUCCUCGUGGGGGUAUAUGAUCCCUUCUUCAUCCUCAUCUGUCCACAUGAUUGGCACUUGCCUGACUCUUGCACGUUUGGCUGCUGGGGUGUUGAAGAAUACCUUUUUGCUGGUCAUGGCGUAUCUAGCAUAAUUUUUCCUCGAUCUGUUAGAAUCUCCGGCCAAUGUUGGGCCCUCAGCUAUAACCCUUACUGCAGGCUGCUCGCGCCUCAAGUUCCUGUCACUCUGCUCCCCUUCACUUGUUGAGGCUACCAUUGGGAAGGUCCCAUCUACGAACUCGUCCAGAUACCGAUUUCUCACUAAAUCUUCAACCUGGGUCUUAAGAUCUCUGCAAUCUGCUGUGGUGUGGCCAUGAGUGCCAUGGAACUUACAAUAGCGUCCCCUAUCCCUCAUGCUGGGUAGCUUGGUUAUUGGAGCAGGGAGGUAUAGCAACCCCCGAUCCUUUAUGGCCUCGUACACCUCGUCCAGGGACAUCUUCAAGGAAGUGUACCGCCCAUAGUCCUAGUUCUGGUCGAUCAGGUGUACUGCUCUUUCUCUGUUUGCUCCGUUCUGGGUUGGGGGCGGUGGCAGUACUUCUGGUCUGCUCCCUCUGCUACCGUGGGAGUGUUGAUGAGCACCAUAUGAUGAAUCAUGCCUUCUCCAAGGCUCCCUAGCUGUGGAACGAGGAGGCUGCGCCCUGCUGCGCUGAUACUGUGGUGGGCUCUGAUGAGGCUGGUAAGCAAUUACCCGACCUCCUGCUCCAUUACCCGAGGCCUGGUGGUCCCUCCUCCUGAUCGGCCCAUUCCCCGGUAAUGCUUUCUUCUCUUUCCUCCCCAACCCUUCUAACUGGUCUAUCUUAAUUCGUGCUGCCUUCUCCUCUUCAAUCUCAAUGUCUCUCUUAGCCUGCUCGUAUGCGGCCGCAUACGUCUGGAUAGCUGGGCUUCUCAAAUUGUACCACAGCCUUCCUAUCUUCACCCUUUCUUUCAAUCCCCUUAACGCCUGAGGGUGGUUGAAGGCUCCCAAGUCGAGGACAGCCCGAUGAAACCUCUUGAUGAAUUCCCGAAGGGUUUCUUGCUCCCCCUGUUUCAUGCUUUUCAGCUCCAUCAUGUCAUCUUCUGGGGCCAUUGCCCCACUAAACUGCUCUGCGAAUUCCUGGCACAUCUGCUCGAAGGUUUUAAUGCUGCCCCGAGGAAGUUUCCUGUACCACUCGCGUGCACGUCCCUCCAGGGAUAGUGGAAACACCCUGCACCUUUGGGGCUGAGAUAAUCCUUGUACCCCCGUUAUGUCAUUGAAGCGUUCUAUGUGCACCAGCGGAUCAGUUCGUCCCGAAUAUCUAAGGUCCGGGAGACGGAAAUCCCUCGGAAUAAUUGCCCUCAUGAUCUCUGCUGCGAGCAGUGAUUCUCCGUCCAGCAUUAUCCUCCAACCAGGAGCUCUGCUCCUUCCUUGCAUAUCGUCAAUUAUCUGCGCUAGUCUGCGCACUUCCUCCUCCAGCUGUACUGCACGACCAGGGUCACGUGCUGCAACUUGAUCCCUCUCUUGCUCUACAUCAUGCAAGUGUUGCCUCAACUCUGUUUCUUCUGCAUUCGCCACCCCGUCGUCCUCGUAAAAAAUCUGUCUUGCCGGGGAUUGCUCUUCUUCUCUAUGAAAUUCUCCCCGUAGAGGUAUGUUACCUCUCUCACCACUAAAUCUCCCGGUGGUUUGACUUCUCCUCGUACCAUCGGGACCUGGUGUCACUCCACCACCUCUCACCAUUUCCUCCUGGGUUACCCUUCGUUCACUCCGCAACUCAUGCAGGAUGGUUGUCAGGGUCUCCAUCUGCUUUUCCAUCCGUUCCAUCCGGUCGAACAUGGCUUUUUCCCGUGCUUCGCUGGCUAUCUCCCUCAGCGUUACAGAAUCGUUAAGCCUCAUAUCACCCCCUUGUGCACUACUUCCUCCUGCCUCCAUUGCUUUUCACUUGCUUCACUCCUCUUCUUGCUAUCAACAGAAGCUUUUUGCUCAGCUCCCCACAGACGGCGCCAAAAUGUUGAUGCGAGAUUCUGGUUACACUCUUCCGGCUACCAGGACAUCUGCUCAAUCAACCUCACCUCGACCAGGAUCUCUCCUCGUAUGCUUUCUUCUCCAAGUACUCCUGCGUUCACAGAAACAAGUCAGAGCACGCCGGUUGUUUUCCCGGCGUAAACCCUCCGACGCUCAAGUCAGAUAUGAAGGCUUUGGGAACGCUUGCCACAGAUCUUAUGGCUUUGGAAAUAGUUUUCUCUUCUUUUCAAUUUCCUUAAUCUCUAUUCUAAUCUCGAAAUUGCUAACCCUUUUACCUUCGCUGGCUACCUUUUUAUAGGCCACUUCUGAGCCCAAGCCUUUUUCCCUUUGCGCUCGUCAUCCUCCCACUUCUCGAAAGUGGAUGCUCCAUUUCUGUAGUCGUGGGUGGUUGCGUGGCCCUCGUGCCUAGAUUCUCAGACUGGAAAGCAUGCCACGCCAACUGUCGUUGACCGGGUCUUCUCGAAUCAACCCUUAGCAGGAAUACAGCAGGAAUGGCUUCAGGCUUCUUACAGGAGAUUGGCCUCGCGGAUGACGUGCUCGUGGACGAGCAGGGUAUUCCUGCUCCUGCUCCUGCUCCCCCGGAUGCCAGGCUCUUACGGGACCCAUCGGCUCGCAGAACUCUACCAUCAGAUAUCUGCUCAUCAUGCCUGGUCUCGUCGACGUAUUUCUCCCAAACACUUACCACAUAUAUGUCACCUUUCAAUCAAUUGUUGAAAAAUUCAAAUUUGGAAUUCAAAUACAUGCAUUCAAAUUUGGAACACUUUGAACGGUCCGAUUCAAAACUUCAUAUUCCAAUUAUAUUCAUAAGACAAAUGGAACACUUUGAACGGCUUGUGUCCGAGCAUUGUAGUUUGAUUUAUUUUGAUGACAUUACCUUUUGACAUUGAGAUUCUUUCAGGAUUUAAACAUUCUUUUUAAAACCAAAUUAUUAAAAAAAAAUAACUAACAUAUAUUAUUUUAUUAGUGCUUUUUAAAUCAAAUAUACAUAGGAGAACUGUAAUUCUUAGCAAUCAAUUUUCCACUAAAUACACCUGCAACAAACUAUUAAUAACAAAGUGAUAGAAAAUACCUGAUUUUUCAUACUUUCUAAUUUCUUUUGGUCCUAAAAUAUGGGCAUUUGUGUAAUAAUAAGCCCAUGUGGAUCUCUAUGCCAUGAGUUUGAUAAAUAGCUAUCAAGGAUCACUUAUUAAGCUAAAAAUAUUUGGAGGACAAAAUUGUAAAACUAAAAGGGUGGAGCAAAUAUGGCUAUCUAGGAUUAAAUAGUAAGUCAACUAUAUUUAAAGGAUAAAAUAUUAAAACUUGAAUUGUGAUAUUAAAAAUAUCUCAACUAUUAUAUUAUUAAACCAUAUGUUCUAAUAGUUUUUUUUUUAAGCUUCAAAAUGUUCAGGAUUUUAGAUUGAAACAUUUUCAAUUGAAAUAAUUUGGUGCAGUCACAAGUUAAGAAAGAAAAAGUUGUCCCAUUGGUCAUUUCACAAAAAUGAAAGCCCUGUAUAACAUGGACGUGAAUGGAAACCCAAUUGUUUGUGUUUGAUUAAUUGAUUUCAAGCUUUAUCUAACCUUUGGACCUGGAUACUUUACUGCGGCCUCUAAGCGCUAUAAAUUUUUUUGGGGAUAAACGGCGCUUCAAUGAGGGCAUCUCCAAUGCUUAACACCAUUUUGGUGUAACACCAACAUUAAAAAUAUACAUUUUUCACACUAAAUUACUAUUUCAUCUCCAACCCAUUUACACCAAAUUUUACACCAAAAAUAAUAUUUUUUUUAUUCUUUUAAUUCUCAAGAAUUAAUUCAAUUAACACAAUAAAUACUACUAUUAACAUAGAUAAUUAAGUAAUAAGUAAUUUUAUCAAUUAACAAAAAAAAUAGAAAAUUAUUAAAUUUGCAUUUAAUUAACUAAAUUAGUACAUUAUGAAAAUUAAACAUUACAUUAAUAUAGAAAAAUACAAUAAAAAUAAUAAUAAUUUUAUAUCUAAUAUUUUGAUGAUAUUGGAGGAUCUAAUAAUGAUCUUCCAGAUUAUUAAAUAAUUGUUCUAAUUUAUACUAGUAGUAGUAGCUUUUUUAAUUUGUGUUAAUUUAAUUUUGUAAUAUGUAAUAUAGUAAUUAAUGUUAUUGGCAUUUUAUUUUUAUUAUUAAUUUUUGUGUUGAAUUUUUUUAUUUAAAAUAUUAGUAUAAUAUUAAAAAAUUAAAAAUGAAAUAAAUAAUAACAAAAAUAAUAAUAAUAACUUAAAAUAUUAUAUAAAAAAGGACAUAUAUGUAAAUAAGAAAAAGUAAUAAAGAUAUUUAGGACUCUUUUUUCCUAGCACCAAAUGAAUAGUGUUACACCAUAUUUGGUGCAAUACUAUUCAUAACACCAAUUUGCUGUUCGUUUUGAUGUUACAUUGGAGAAGCAUUUUACACAAAAAAUGGUGUAAAAGGUAGUUUGGUGUUAGUUUUGGUGUCACAUUGGAGAUGGCCUGGAAAAACACUUGAAAACUUUGGAUUUUUGGUUCGUCCAGUUACGGUGUUAUGCUAAUGGGGUUAAAAGUUCCGAUCCAAUGAGUUAGGAUGGAAUAUGAAUAUAUAAAUUCCAUAGCAUGUAAGGACUAGGAUUUGUUUGUUCAUAUCAAGAAAAAAAAGAUCCGAAAAUUUGAUGAUCAGAAGAUGAAGACACGUUUAUUACAGAGAAACAAACGACAACAUGAUACUAGUAGUAGUUAUUCUUUUCAUCCGAUAUAUUACAUGGUAAUAUCACUACUCGUUCCACUGGUUUCAUAUACACCAUCGAUCAGCAACAUGAUAAUUUUGUGUCAGUUCAUUUUGUUUGUAGGAAAGAGCAGUGUAUUUCUUAGAGCUUGAAAAUAAUAAAAAGAUUUUAAAAUAUAAAUUGCAUAUUUGUUUAUUACAGUUGUUUGGUCUAAUUUCUUAUGUAGAAUUGCUUGUCAUUCUUUGGACGUUAUUGAUUAUAUUUUUGUCAGACUUGGCGUAUAUAUUCACACAUACGUUUUAUUUUGUCAUUUUGUAGAACAUUUUUACACGCCAUAUUAUCACGACUCUUCUCUGUCUGAAUAAGAAGAAAGCAUAAUGCGACCCUCCAAUAGCUUAAUCUAUGGAAUUAUCGUGUUUUGUAAGUUGAGGUCCAAUGGCGUUUUGGCACAUCAUAUGAUAGCCCACUAUAUUGCGUUGCUUUACAAAAGAUUAAUAUUUUGAAAAUUAUUAGGUAAGUUUAGGCUCAGUGGCACUUUAACUCAUGAUAUGAUUGUCCAGGUUUUCGAGGACCACUAUAUUCUAUUGAUUUAAAAAAAAUUAAUAUUUUUUAAUAUUAAUAUUCUAAAUUAUAUUCAGUUCAAAUAUUAAAUAUUAAAUACAUUCUUAAUAUUAAUAUUCUUAGAUGAAAUUCUUUUGCUGACUUAAGAAUAAAAUAUUAAAUAAUUUUAUUUUUCUUUUAUUCUGUAACGUGGACCCAAUAAAAAAAGGAAAUGAAUUUAAUAAAACCUUCAUUCAAAAUCUUCAUUCCGCCACCAUGCAUGUUAAUUGUUUCCAAAUUCCAACCUCCGUACUCUCUUGAGGAGUUUCCCAUUCAUCAAUUAUUAUUUUUUAUAAUCCAUACCAUCCUGAUAUAAUUAAACACCAUUAAUAAUGUACCAACCUUUAAAUAGUAAUUAAUUUAUUUAUCUAAUUCACCAAAUGUUUUUUCCGGUACAUAUCUCCAUUGGUAUCAAGAAGAAGCAGAACCCAAAGAAAUGUUUCUUGCAUCUUCAUAUUUGUGCGAAUUCAUCCUUUCAUUGAGAAUAACCAUUUCCAGGCAGCAGUUGGCAAUCAAUUCAUGCGCACGUCGAUGCUAUUCAUAGAUACUAAAGACAAUGAUGAACCAAAGGUGAUAAAUCAUAAAUGCAUAAUUACCAAACCUCCAUCCUUCUCUCAUUAUGAUUUGAUUUUAAAUGAAUUAUUGCUUGGUAACAUUAUUUCCAACCAUUGCAAGACCUUUUUUUUGGAGAAAUUUCAAUUGAAAGUGAAACCUUUAGACAUUUACCUAAUGAAGUUAGUUAAUCGGGAGGGUCGGAAAAAAAAAGUUGACGCAAGUCAAUACACAAUAAUCAAUUAAAUCCGGAGUGACUAAAACAGAGCCACUACUUUUUAAAAAAUAUCUGCAUUAAUCACUUUCUCCAGCAACUAGUCAGCUACACACGAAUCAAUUUCUCUCCUCGUUUGUCAUCCAAAAUUAUUCACCAAUACCAUGGCUGAUGCAAUCGUUUCCACUAUCUUGGAGCAGCUGAUUUCCUUCGCUGCUGAAGAGAUAAAACAACAGGUGAUCGAAGUUUCACCCCUCAUAUUACAAAUACUUCCAAUGAUUUUAAUUGGCUUUGUUUUUAUCAAAAACAUUAUAUAUUUUUGCUUUUUUUUUAUUUAUCUGAUAAUUUUAUAUUUUGAAAUUUGAAUUGAAUUUAAUUAAAAGGUGAUGUAGUAACCACUCAUUUUUAUUUUAUUUCAUUUCUAUUCUCGAUAACUAACCAUAUUUUGGUAACUUAAUAUGACUCUCGUACAUAAGAAAUGAUCAAAACCCACAAUUUUAACUAUGUAUAAAUAUUCAACGUUGAGCUAAGGUUUUGCAGAACAUUCAAGUUUAUCAAAUAGUCAUUAAUUUAAUGUUUUAGUAAAACCUCAACUCAUCACUGAAUCCCAUAGCUAUUACUUAGACUCUAUGAAAAAUUUCAUAGUUUUCUUACAUUCUUUCAGUUUGGUAAGUGAUUUCAUAUAAUUUCUGUUCAAUAUAAAUUUUAAUUUGGUUUCUUAUAUACUCUCUUUGCUGAAUUUGUAUCUUUUAUGAUUCUUAGAUUUUGGGCUCUAACAUUUUAGGAUUUGAUAGUCACAUUUUAUGCCAUGCUUAGAUUGAUUUUCAUGAUUUUUACUACCCAUUAAGUGACUUAGAAUUUGACAAAAGUUUGAAAGGAAAUCUGCUUCAGGAUUCUGUUUUAAUUGACCUUUUAGUGGAAAUAGGAUGCUUAUAACUUAAUGUGGAUGGUUCGUAAAAUCAUGAAAUUUGGAUAGAAUUAACUAGAAAUAUGUACAAGACUCUCCAUGAAGUCUCAUAAUUUUUCAUUCGGUCUGGGGUGGUACAGGUGAAACUUGUGGUUGGUGUUGAAAAAGAAGUGAAAAGCCUUACCAGCCAUCUUCAAGCCAUUCAAGUUGUGCUCGAUGAUGCAGAGGAAAAGCAAGUGAAGGAAAAAGCUGUUAGUCUUUGGCUGGGUAGGCUCAAGUAUGCAUCCUACGACAUUGAAGAUGUGUUGGAUGAGUGGAUCACAACAAGACGCAAAUUGCAAAUUGAGGGUGGCAUUGGUGAAAAUGCUCUUGUUGUUCCUCAUAAGAAAAAGAAGGUAUGUCUCUGCUUUCCCGGCUCUUGUUUUGGAUUCAAACAAGAAGAAUUUGGUUUCAAACAAGUCUUUCUCCGUCAUGACAUUGCCGACAAGAUCAAAGAAAUCAAUGAAGAGCUACAUGAUAUUGCCGCUCAAAAAGACAUGUUUGAUCUUGUUAAGAGUGGCAAUAAAAGUAGUGAAAGACCAAGGCGUGUACAGAGUACCUUCUUGAUUGAUGAGGAAGAGAUUUGUGGCAGAGUUGGUGAGAGGAAUGAACUCUUAAGCAAGCUGUUGUGUGAGAGUAGCGAGCAACAAAAAGGCCUUCAUAUCAUCUCAAUCGUUGGUAUGGGAGGCAUAGGGAAAACAACUCUUGCACAACUAGCUUGUAAUCAUGACGAGGUGAAGAGAAAGUUCGACAAAAUUCUGUGGGUGUGUGUAUCAGAAACUUUUGAGGAGUUUAGGGUUGCCAAAGCGAUCGUUGAAGUUUUGGAUGGUCGUGAAUCUCAUUUAGCUGAAUUCCAUUCUCUUCUUCAACAUAUUUAUGAAUCCAUUGCAGGGAAGAGCUUUCUUCUUGUCUUAGAUGACGUGUGGGAUGGAAAUUACUUGAAAUGGGAACCAUUCUACCGUUGUCUAAAGAAUGGUCUCCAUGGAAGUAAAAUUUUAGUUACCACACGUAAAGGGUCAGUCGCAUCCAUGAUGGGAUCCAUAGAUAUUAUCUCCGUUAAGGAGUUAGCUGAAGAGGAAUGUUGGUUGUUGUUUAACAAGAUAGCAUUUUUUGAUCGGUCCAUCGAGGAACGUGAAAAAUUAGAACAAAUUGGGCAAAGAAUUGCAGGCAAGUGCAAAGGUUUACCUCUUGCAGCAAAGACAAUAGGGAGUCUCAUGCGUUCUAAACAAACUGAAGAAGAGUGGAAAAGAAUUUUAAAUAGUGAUUUAUGGAAAGUAGAAGAGAUUGAGAAAGAUGUUUUGUCCUCUUUAUUGUUGAGUUAUAAUGAUUUGCCAUCUAGAGUAAAAAGAUGUUUUUCAUAUUGUGCUGUCUUUCCAAAAGACUACAAUAUAGAAAAAGACAAACUAAUCACGUUAUGGAUGGCUCAAGGUUAUCUUAGUGCAGAAGAAGAUGAAGAGAUGGAGACAGUAGGUGAAGAGUAUUUUGGCAUCUUAGCUUCUCGCUCAUUUUUUCAAGAGUUUAAGAAAAGUUAUGAUAAUCGGAUUAUAGAGUGUAAGAUGCAUGAUAUGGUACAUGAUUUUGCCCGAUUUGUAAGUCAAAAUGAAUGUUUUUCGAUGGCAAUCAAUGGUAGUGAAGAACCAAACGCCACAAACUCUCUUGAUGAGAAGGUCCGUCAUUUAAUGUUAAUCUUUAGUAUAGAGGCUUCAUUACCUGUUUCCACUUGUAGAGUUAAAAGAAUUCGUAGCCUCUUAAUUAACGAUAGUAGAUCUGAUCAUUCAUUAUUAAAUGGUGAGAUCCUAGAAGAAUUAUUUAGGGAAUUGACAAGUUUAAGGGCAUUAGAUUUUUGCAAAUCGUAUAACGCAAGUUGGUCUUCGACUCUGGAGAUUCCGAGAAACAUAGAAAAGCUGGUACAUUUAAGAUACCUUAAUUUGUCUUAUCAGGGAAUAAAGAAACUACCGGAGACAUUAUGCGAGUUGUAUAAUCUAGAAAAGUUAGAUAUUAGUUAUUGUUAUAAGCUAGAAGAAUUACCUGAAGGGAUUGGGAAGUUAAUAAACAUGAAGCAUUUACGAAAUAGAGGUACUAGUUCUUUAAGGUACAUGCCAGUAGGGAUUGGGAGAUUAACGGGUCUUAGGACCUUGGGUGAGUUCCACGUGAGUGCAGGAGGAGGUGUUGAUGGUAGGAAAGCAUGUAGGCUUGAAUCUCUUAAAAACUUGGAACACCUUCAAGUAUGUGGUAUAUGUAGACUGGGUGAUGUAUCAGAUGUGGGCGAGGCUAAGCGAUUAGAACUUGACAAAAAGAAAUACCUCUUCAGUUUGACCCUCGAGUUUGAUAAGACGGAAAGAGGAGGAGAAAGGAGGAAGAACGAGGACGAUCAACUUCUUCUUGAAGCCUUGCGACCACCCCUGGAUUUAAAGGAAUUAGAGAUACGGUACUACCGAGGCAACACUGUUUUCCCCAGCUGGAUGGCGUCAUUAACCAACUUAAAGAGUUUACAUCUCCAUAGGUGCGAAAAUUGCGAGCAGCUGCCUCCUUUGGGAAAAUUGCCGUCCCUUGAAAAUCUCUACAUAUGGCGCAUGGAGAGUGUGAAGAGAGUGGGUGAUGAAUUUUUGGGGAUAGAAAGUGAUCAUCAUGACUCAUCGUCAUCUUCAUCAGUUACUAUUGCCUUCCCCAAAUUGAAAUCACUCACAAUUUAUUCGAUGCUGGAAUUGGAGGAGUGGGAUUAUGAGAUUACAAGAACAGGAAACACCGUCAUCAACAUCAUGCCACGUCUUUCUUCCUUGACAAUUGUUGAUUGCACCACAUUAAAGGCACUGCCCGACCACAUUCAUCAAACGACAACGUUGAAGGAAUUGAGCAUUUUUAUGUGUUGGCUUCUGAACAAACGUUACCGCAAGGGGAAAGGAGAAGACUGGCCUAAAAUAUCACACAUUCCCAACCUCCGUAUUGGGCUUUGACAAGUAAUUUCUUCUCUCACUCUGAUUUGCUUUGUUGUUGUUUUUAAUCUAAUUAAGAAGCGAAAAUAGCAUUUUGAAUCAAACUCUAUAUCAGAAAUCUGCAAUACUUACUUUCUAAUAUUCUGAUUUUCAUAUCCUAUGAAUAUACGAUUUUUAAUUUGUGAGAUGGGUAACGUUACUGUAAAAGAUUAUUAAUGCAAUAUGAGUAAUUCUUUUGCAGGACAAGUGACCUACAUUUAGUUUGGCUUUGGAGUUGAAUAAUAACCUUUCGUGGUCCCGACAACCAAAAAACAAAGCUUAAUUUGCCACAGAUUGAACGUAUUGCCAUUAUUGACAAUUUUCUGCACAAGCGUGACUGAACUUAGGUUGAUGUCAAAAGAGGUAAAUUAUUGGCAUGCCUGACUAUUUUGACCAUUACAUGAUUCAUAAGUUUACAUUAAUUUUGAUUUUGAGUUGAGUGAUUAGUUUUCUAGGUUUGCUUACUUUAACUGGGUGACCAAUUUCUUGUAACUAAAUGUAUGAUGUGAUGCAGGAAGCAGGGCAGGAUAUGAAAAGAGAAGCUUAUUAGAGGAAGGAUUGCCAGUAACAGAAUCCAAAGAAAAAGAAACCAUUUCGAGGCAGCUGUUGGCAGUUGGCAGUGAAUGGAGCCCCUUGAAAAAAUUCCCAGGCCGUUGCACUGCAAUUACGAUCAUCCUCGGCCUCAGGUAAUUUCUUCUCCUGCAUUUUUGUUAUUUGCUAUCAAGUGACUAUUUUAAGUAUGAUUGCAUUAAGCUUCUGCUGGGAAAUUUGAGGUUUUGAUGACUGCCCAUGCUAUUGUCAGAAGCUGCGGUUCUUUUCAUCAGCCUGAACCUGGACCUGCCGCUAUGGAUAACUCAGGUUUUUUUUUUUUUUUUAAUCAACUGCCAUCUUUUCCACUGUUUAGAAACUCUUAAGAUUAAACUUUAGUAAAGUUGUUUUAGUUAUCCAUGUAAUCAGGCUGAGGAUACUUAGCUGCCUAUUUAGGCAAAUGUCAGAAUUUAGUUUGUUCGCUGGGAACUGGUGUGGACUGGCAAAGGAUGAUGAGAUAGUUUUUUGAGUGAGUAAAUUUUGGGAGCUUGAGUGUAUUGGGAUUUGCAAUUACAAUCAUCGUCUGCCUCAGGUGAUUUCUUCUCCUGCUCUGUCAUUGUUUGUUCUCUAAUUCAAAAGCAUAAAAUAUUUCAAUCAAUUUUUAUGCCAGGAAUAUGCAAAAGUUUCUAAUAUUUUAUUUCCAUCUGUUACAAGAUCAAACUGAAGCAGAACUCAAACAAAAGUAUGCUACUUCUUGCGGAAAUCUUGCCUUUGUUCAGAUUAUGAAACCAUUUCCAUGCAGCAAAUUCAUCCAAAAGUUUGAAUAAGUUUCAUGGUUGGACACUGUUGGCUUCUUUUUCUUCUGGGGUGCAUUUAGGUGCUAUCAAGUGACAGCUGUAAGUAUGAUUGCACUAAGCUGCCGCUGGGAAAUUUGAGGUUUUGAUGGCUGCCCAUGUUAUUUUCAAGAAACUAUUGAUGUAAGAAGCUGUGGUUCUUUUCAUCAGCUUGAACCUGAAACUGUCGCUAUGGAUAACUCAGGUUUUUGUUAUCAACUAUAUCAUCUUUUUCACUAUUUUGAAACUCUUAAGAUUAAACUUUAGUAAAGUUGUUUCAGCUAUUCAAAUGAAAAACUCAUUGAUUUGAGACUUCCUUCAUUAUUGUUUCUAAUUACAAUGCUAACGAUCCAGAUAAAAUAAUAUUUAAUCGGCGAAGGUGUCCCUUGGAAGUACAUCCUUCUUUUUCUUUUAUUAUAUAAAUUCUUGCAAUGAGCUUAGUGAAGCUGUUGUGCUAAUCAUGCCACUGCAUAAUUUGGCCCCUAAUGUGGGUACUCUGUUACAUUGUUCUGCAAAUUCUCCAGAAGUUAAAAUCAAUAAAUUUUCUAUUAGCUCUAGUGCUUUGACCUAAAUGCCAUUCUAUAUUUUGAUUACAAUGUUUUAACCUUUAAAUUAACUACCCCUAGAUGUUGGAUUUUCUAGAACUUCAAAAUGAUUAAUGGAGAAAGAUCCCAUUAUCGUUAUUGCUAUAAGAAAUUGAUUUAUGCAUCCAAAGAUACAUUAUAUAUUUCUGUGUCUCUAUUUGUAGAUGACAUUUAAGCAUCCAUAAACCGUCAGACAGAGGAAGGGGGUUCAGUGCAAAGAUUCUGUUGACCUAGGGUUGACUGCAUAAUGUCACUUGUUCGCAAUCUAUUAUUUAUUUUAUAUUUUGAAGAAUUUAAUGGGUAAUCCUAAUUGUUUGUUUUGGCAGGUAUGUGUUGUUAUCUCCUUCUAUCUAACAGUCGUACCUAAAUAGCAUAGUUUCAUCUGUGUUACCAUGUGAUGUACAUAAUUUCACAUUUGCCUCAGAUUAAGCUUAAUUUCCCACAGAAUAGAGCUGUCGCGACUGGACUUAGGUUGAUGUCCAAAGAGGUAAAUUAUUGGCAUGCCUAGAUAAUUUGGCCAUUUCCUAAUUCAUAAGUCUACAUUAAUUUUGAUUUUGAGUUGACUGAUUUCUUUUCAAGGUCUGCUUCCUUAACGGAGUGACCAAUGUUUUUCAACUAAAUUUAUCAUAUGAUGCAGGAAGCAGGGCAGGAUAUGAAAUGAGAAGCUCAUUGGUGGAAGUAUUGCCAGUAACAGAACCCAAAGAAAAUGAAACUAUUUCAAGGCAGCAGUUGGCAGUUGCAAGUGAAUGGAGGCCCUGACAAAAUUCUCAAGCGGUUGCAAUGCAAUUACGAUCAUCCUCAGCCUCAGGUAAUUUCUUCUCCUGCUCUGUUUUUAUUUGUUAUCUAAUUAAAAAGCAUAAAGUAUCUUGAAUCACUUUCUGUAUCUGGAACAUAUGCAGCAGUUUCUAAAAUCUUCAUAUGAGUGUAAUGAUGGUAAUUUCUGUUUUUUGUCUGUCAUUGAAUGUUAGACAACUUUCAGUGAGACUCUUGAACCGAGACAUUUUUGACAAAUGAAGGACAAUUGCUGAAGAGUGGGAAUGGUGCUAGAUUGGGGAAUAAAGACAAAGGAGGUAAAUUAUUUGCAGUUUAUUCAGCAUUAUUUGCUUUGGACCAGCGCCUGAUUCACAAGUCUCCAUAAUUUGGCUUUUGACCAGUUGUUAAUAAAUUUUUUAUUCCAUUGGUGCUAAAUGUACACGUGAAGCAGGCAGAGCAGGACUGUGGAAAUGAGAAGGUUUUUAGUGAAAGCUUAAACUCAGGUAAUUCUAAAAAGUACAUGUUUUUGCUGAUUUAUCUAAAUCAGGAAAUUUUAUUUCCAUCUGUUACAAGAUAAAACAGAAACAGAACACAAAGAAAAAUAUUCUACUUCUUGUGGCAAUCUUGCCUUCAUUCAGACAAUGAAACCAUUUCCUUUCACCAAUUUCUUCCAAAAGUUUGAAUAAGUUUCAUGGUUGGACAUAGUUAGCUUCUUUUUCUUUUGGUGCAUUUAGGUCCUAUCAAGUGACAGCCAUAAGUAUGAUUGCAUUAUUGGGAAAUUUUAGGUUUUGAUGGCUCCCCACGUUAUUGCCAAGAAAGUCCUCAUGUCAAAAGCUGCGGUUCUUUUCAUCAGCCUGAACCCGAACCUGUCGUUAUGGAUAACUCAGGUUUUUGUCAUCAACUAUAUCAUCUUUUUUACUGUUUUGAAACUCUUAAGAUUAAACUUCAGUAAAGUUGUUUCAGUUAUCCAUGUAAUCAGGCCAAGGAUAUUUAGCAGCUUAUUUAGGCAACUGCCAGAAUUCAGUUUGUUUGCUCGAAACUUGUAUGGUGACAAGGAUACUGGCAAGGAUAGUGAGAUAGUUUUUUGUGUGAGUGAAAUUUGAAAGCUUGGGUGUUCUGGGAUUUGCAAUUGCAAUCAUCCUCUGAGUCAGGUGAUUUCUUCUCCUGCUCUGUCUUGAUUUUCUCUCUAAUUGAAAGCAUAAAGUAUUUCAAUCAAAUUCUGUACCAGGAGUACAUAAAAGUUACUAAUAUUUUAUUUCCAUCUGUUUGCAUUGAUAACUCGGCAUAUGUUCUAGUUAAAGAACAAACAGAAACAGAGUUCAGGAAAAAGUUUCUUCGGCCACCAUAUUUGAAAAUGAAACCAUUUCCAGGAAGCAGUUGGCAGCAAAUUCAUAUGGAGUGUAGACAAUGAUGAGCAAAAAGGUGAUUCGCAAUUUCUUUUUUUUUUAAGUGAAAUUAUUUGUUAGAUUGAAGCUGAUAUUGUAAGAAGGCCAUUGAGCUAACCUAUGUCGUCACUUGCCUAGAUUGCAGGGGGUCAAGACUCAAAAGAAGCACUGAAAUUUAAAAAGCAUGGAAUAGUUCUUUUGCCAUGUGUCAAUUAAUGCAAGUUUGAAUAAGUUUAUUGGCUGAACGAUGUUAGCUUCUUUUCCUUUCGUGCACUUUGGUAUGCUAUCAAGUGACAGCCGUAUGUAUGGCUUGCAUAUAGCUGCUGCUGGGAAAAUUGACGAUUUCAUGGCUGGCCGUGUUAUUGUCUUAAAUUAGUUGUGAUAAGCUGUUGCUUGGAGAUUCUGUUGCCAAGACUUUGCUCACAUCAGAAGCUGUGGAAUCUGAACCCUUCGUUAUGUAUCAUCUUUUUCAUUGUUUUAAAACUCUCAGGAUUAAACUUGAGCGAAUUUGUUCGGUUGUCUAUAUAAUCAUGUAUUGAGUAAACUCUCAGGAUACUGAGGGUGAGAGAAAUUAGAGGGUGUAUAGGGAUUUGGAUUUGUUAGGAAGUUAUCAUUUUUAUUUUUAUUUUUAUUUUUUUCCCAGAAAAUCUUCUGGUGGUGCUAUAUUUUCAAACGACAGUCCGAUUCAAAACUUGAUAUUCCAAUUAUAUUCAUAAGCUUCUACAGUUAUCUUCAAAAAGACAAAUGGAAGGCUUUGAACGGCUUGGGUCUGAGUAUUGUAGUUUGAUUUAUUUUGAUGAAAGUACCUUUUGACAUUGAGAUUCUUUCAUGAGUUAAACAUUCUUUUUAAAACCAACUUAUUAAAAAAAAAAAGUAACUAACAUAUAUUAUUUUGUUAGUGCUUUUUAAAUCAAAUAUAAAAAAGAGAACUGUAAUUCUUAGCAACCAAUUUUUCACUGAGUACACCUACAACAAACUAUUAAAAAAUAAAGUGAUAGAAAAUGCCUGAUUUUUCGUACUUUCUAAUUACUUUUGGUCCUAAAAUAUGGCAAUUUGUGUAAUAAUAAGCCCAUGUAUAUCUUUAUGCCAUUAGUUUGAUAAAUAGCUAUCAAGGAUAACUUAUUAAGCUAAAAAUAUUUGAAGGAUAAAUUGAUUUAUGCAUCCAAAGAUACAUUAUAUAUUUCUGUGUCUCUAUUUAUAGAUGACAUUUAAGCAUCCAUAAACCGUCAGACAGAGGAAGGGGGUUCAGUGCAAAGAUUCUGUUGACCUAGGGUUGACUGCAUAAUGUCACUUGUUCGCAAUCUAUUAUUUAUUUUAUAUUUUGAAGAAUUUAAUGGGUAAUCCUAAUUGUUUGUUUUGGCAGGUAUGUGUUGUUAUCUCCUUCUAUCUAACAGUCGUACCUAAAUAGCAUAGUUUCAUCUGUGUUACCAUGUGAUGUACAUAAUUUCACAUUUGCCUCAGAUUAAGCUUAAUUUCCCACAGAAUAGAGCUGUCGUGACUGGACUUAGGUUGAUGUCCAAAGAGGUAAAUUAUUGGCAUGCCUAGAUAAUUUGGCCAUUUCCUAAUUCAUAAGUCUACAUUAAUUUUGAUUUUGAGUUGACUGAUUUCUUUUCAAGGUCUGCUUCCUUAACGGAGUGACCAAUGUUUUUCAACUAAAUUUAUCAUAUGAUGCAGGAAGCAGGGCAGGAUAUGAAAUGAGAUCUCAUUGGUGGAAGUAUUGCCAGUAGCAGAACCCAAUGAAAAUGAAACUAUUUCAAGGCAGCAGUUGGCAGUUGCAAGUGAAUGGAGGCCCUUGACAAAAUUCUCAAGCGGUUGCAAUGAUGGUAAUUUCUUCUCCUGCUUUGUAUUUAUUUGUUAUCUAAUUAGGAAGCGUGAAGUAUCUUGAAUCAUUUUCUGUAUCUGGAAUAUAUGCAAGAGUUUCUAAAAUUUUGAUAUGAGUGUAAUGAUGGUAAUUUCUGUUUUCUGUCUGUCAUCAAAUGUUAGAAAACUUUCAUUGAGACCCUUGAACCGAGUCAUUUUUGACAAGUGAAGGACAAUUGCUGAAGAGUGGGAAUGGUGCUAGAUUGGGGAAUAAAGACAAAGGAGGUAAAUUAUUUGCAGUUUAUUCAGCAUUAUUUGCUUUGGACCACCGCCUGAUUCACAAGUCUCCAUAAUUUGGCUUUUGACCAGUUAAUAAAUUUUUAAUUCCAUUGGUGCUAAAUGUACACGUGAAGCAGGCAGAGCAGGACUGUGGAAAUGAGAAGGUUUUUAGUGAAAGCUUAAACUCAGGUAAUUCUAAAAAGUACAUGUUUUUGCUGAUUUAUCUAAAUCAGGAAAUUUUAUUUCCAUCUGUUACAAGAUAAAACAGAAACAGAACACAAAGAAAAAUAUUCUACUUCUUGUGGCAAUCUUGCCUUCAUUCAGACAAUGAAACCAUUUCCUUUCACCAAUUUCUUCCAAAAGUUUGAAUAAGUUUCAUGGUUGGACAUAGUUAGCUUCUUUUUCUUUUUGGUGCAUUUAGGUCCUAUCAAGUGACAGCCAUAAGUAUGAUUGCAUUAUUGGGAAAUUUUAGGUUUGGAUGGCUCCCCAUGUUAUUGCCAAGAAAGUCCUCAUGUCAGAAGCUGCGGUUCUUUUCAUCAGCCUGAACCCGAACCUGUCGUUAUGGAUAACUCAGGUUUUUGUCAUCAACUAUAUCAUCUUUUUUACUGUUUUGAAACUCUUAAGAUUAAACUUCAGUAAAGUUGUUUCAGUUAUCCAUGUAAUCAGGCUAAGGAUAUUUAGCAGCUUAUUUAGGCAACUGCCAGAAUUCAGUUUGUUUGCUCGAAACUUGUAUGGUGACAAGGAUACUGGCAAGGAUAGUGAGAUAGUUUUUUGUGUGAGUGAAAUUUGAAAGCUUGGGUGUUCUGGGAUUUGCAAUUGCAAUCAUCCUCUGAGUCAGGUGAUUUCUUCUCCUGCUCUGUCUUGAUUUUCUCUCUAAUUGAAAGCAUAAAGUAUUUCAAUCAAAUUCUGUACCAGGAAUACGUAAAAGUUACUAAUAUUUUAUUUCCAUCUGUUUGCAUUGAUAACUCGGCGGCAUAUGUUCUAGUUAAAGAACAAACAGAAACAGAGUUCAGGAAAAAGUUUCUUCGGCCACCAUAUUUGAAAAUGAAACCAUUUCCAGGAAGCAGUUGGCAGCAAAUUCAUAUGGAGUGUAGACAAUGAUGAGCGAAAAG
Molecule: long non-coding RNA, 39114 nt
Filed under: Citrus maxima (pomelo)
Lineage: Eukaryota; Viridiplantae; Streptophyta; Magnoliopsida; Sapindales; Rutaceae
Description: long non-coding RNA (CMAX_LNC001172)
Source: RNAcentral